Equus caballus (horse) is the source of this 2000-nucleotide long non-coding RNA. The record is from Ensembl. Lineage: Eukaryota; Metazoa; Chordata; Mammalia; Perissodactyla; Equidae.
CUGUUAGUUACAAAGCUGAGACCAAGAAUGAGAAAUGCUGACCCACCCCAGUGACCACACUCAACAGACGUGAGUCCCUCCCUCUUCCCAGAGGACCCUGCCUUCCUGUCUGCACUGCACAUCUCCCCAGAUUUCUGGAUUGAGAGUUGGGUUUGAAUCCCAGGUCUGUAAUACACUUCCUCGGUGGCCUCCAGUAACUGAGAACCUCUGGCGUCCAUUUGCUCGCUUGAAAAUGAAGAUGGACAAACUGCUCAUGGGUUGCCAAGCAGGUUAGUGAGGCCAUAGGGAGCUGGUCACAAAGGAGGUGCUCAGUAAAGGACAGCUGUGAUGAUGCCAUCCCCCAGACCUCCAGGAUGUGAAAACCAUUUUCCUUGUAGGGGGCCACAGAACCAGCAAGGAAUAUGCUUAAUUGGAUGAUAAUGGAUGAUCAACUAAAAGCAAGUCAGCUGGAUGUAACACACACAACAGAAAAACCCAAAAUGACAGGAGUUUAAAGAGGAGAGAAGUUCAUUUCUCACCCACAUAAAGAUGUCUGCAGCAGGCAGCCCAGGGCUGAAAGGAGAACUUCACACUUUGCUUGGGGAUCCACCUGCCUGUCUAUCUGAUCUGCUUUCUUCAAUGAAUGGCUUCCAUCCACAAGAUGCGUCACAAUCCAAGAAAUCGGUGGAAAUCCAUCCUCAAGUGCCCAUUCCAGGCAGGCGGCAGGACAGCAUGUGGAAGACAAAAACGAUGCUCCUCCCAACUGGGUCAGAAGCUUGAAACUCCUUUCCAAGAAGUUCCCUGUGCCACUUCUACUUAAAUCUCCGGCCGGAAGUUCAUCUUACGGCCUCAGCAGCUGCACAGGUUGCUGGAAAAUUGUUGCCUUUUGGGUGCAUUGCCACGUUGAAUAAAACCGAGGUUCAAUUUUAUUGAGAAAGUGGGGGAGGCUGGAUGUUGAGUGGCAACAAGCAACCUCUGCCACAAAUAGACAACCUUUCCUCACUCAACAGAUGCCGCACACUCUGCAGAGGAUGGGGUGAAAAGAGAAAGAAACGAAGAAAAACACAACACAGAGCCUGAUAUUCAGGGACUCAUGGUCUGACAGGGGAGACAGAUAUGUAAUAAAUGAGUUUAUUAGAGUGAUCACUGCACUCAUAAAAGUGUGUACUGCGAAGAUGGAUGGUACAAAGGGGGCUGUUGCCCAUUGAUCCUGAAGUUUGAUGAAGACAUAUCUCUUUAAGGUAAUGGCCUUUGCAACCAUGGAGACUUUCUCCAGGAAAACUGGAAGAGUGCAGACAAAGACAGAAGUUUCUGAAGCUCGACAACAAUCAAGUAAACAAACAAACAAGAAAACUGAAAAGGUCAGAUGGUGAAAAGUGGUUUACGUAAACCUAAAAUAGGAUGAUGUGAAAAGACUGGCUAGGGGCUACUUUGGUCUGCUUAUUGCAUCUCACCCUCGUACCAGCCUUAUGAGGUAUCGGGAAACUGAAGCUCAGAGAUAUUUCACAGUUUGCCUGAGGUUAAACAGCUACUCAUUAGUGAAGCCAGGAUUCAAGUUCAGACAAUGAGACCUCACACACUGCUCUUCUCUUUAAGCAGGAGCCUGAGUGUUACACGAAGCGCCUUCGUCUGUGCAGCUGGAGGUCCCUUUGCUGUAGUCUAGCAGAUGGUGCACUACAUGGAAGGGACAGAGAUCCUGUGACUAUAGGAAAUGGUCAAGACUCUCAGACUCUCAGUAUCUCCGCCUGCAAAAUGGGUUUAUAACAUUCUCCCUCCCACCCCACAAGACCCUGGGAGGACCACCUUUAGGACUGAAUAAAGACUAUCUAGCCCAAACCCUCACUUUACAGAUAAAAAUGGUGAGACACUGGCAGGCCAUGCAGCCUCUCCGAGUUGCUCAGUGAAUUGAUGACCAAGACUGGGCUAGAAACCCAGUGUACUAGUCAGCUAAUGCCUCAUAACAAGUGCUGGAGCUUAAAGUUAAAAACAUAACCCUCCUGCAUAUAUAAAAUGAAUACAUG